This 152-nucleotide ribosomal RNA is filed under the name uncultured Rhizobiaceae bacterium. Its description in RNAcentral is "partial 16S ribosomal RNA". It matches the Rfam family "Bacterial small subunit ribosomal RNA", at positions 388 to 557 of the family's 1533-position model. Lineage: Bacteria; Pseudomonadati; Pseudomonadota; Alphaproteobacteria; Hyphomicrobiales; Rhizobiaceae. The record is from RNAcentral.
UCAGCCAUGCCGCGUGAGUGAUGAAGGCCUUAGGGUUGUAAAGCUCUUUCACCGGUGAAGAUAAUGACGGUAGUCGGAGAAGAAGCCCCGGCUAACUUCGUGCCAGCAGCCGCGGUAAUAACCGUGGGGCUAGCGUUGUUCGGAAUUACUGG